Molecule: non-coding RNA, 395 nt
Organism: Oncorhynchus mykiss (rainbow trout)
Lineage: Eukaryota; Metazoa; Chordata; Actinopteri; Salmoniformes; Salmonidae
Source: RefSeq, a predicted model, not a curated record
UACAGAUCUCUGGGGUGUGUAGGGUACUGAUCUUUAUUUUGUUCCCAGGCCCGUCUUCCACUGAAGUGAAGUCUGGUCCGAUGACAUACUGCUGUGGGGAAAUCUCUCUGGGUAAGAGCCCAUACCCUAAUGUUGUGGUGGACACCUGAUUCUACAAGAUUAUCAAAGAUGGGAUGCCACAUGUCUCAUGACCAGACUUUGCCCUUCCAGUGAUGUACACUAUAAUGGAGAUGUGCUAGAACCUGGAGCCAAUAGUGUCUCCAAACUUCAUUGGUCAGCUUAUCCAGAGGCUACUGCUUGACCAGCCAGACCAGGUGAGUGACCAAGGACCUAAAUUAAGUAGAGAGUCUGUGUAUCCUAUUGUCAUAUUGUGUUGUUUUUACCUUACAUCAAAA